AGGACGAACGCUGGCGGCGUGCUUAACACGUGCAAGUCGAGCGGAAAGGCCCUUCGGGGUACUCGAGCGGCGAACGGGUGAGUAACACGUGAGUAAUCUGCCCCUAGCUCUGGGAUAGCUCCGGGAAACCGGGAUUAAUACCGGAUACGACCACCUUAGACAUCUUUUGUGGUGGAAAGAAUUUCGGCUAGGGAUGAGCUCGCGGCCUAUCAGCUUGUUGGUGGGGUAACGGCCUACCAAGGCGACGACGGGUAG
RNAcentral lists this ribosomal RNA (255 nucleotides) under uncultured bacterium. RNAcentral describes it as "partial small subunit ribosomal RNA". It matches the Rfam family "Bacterial small subunit ribosomal RNA", at positions 26 to 286 of the family's 1533-position model. The record is from RNAcentral.